RNAcentral lists this ribosomal RNA (422 nucleotides) under uncultured eukaryotic phytoplankton. RNAcentral's name for it is "bacterial SSU rRNA". It matches the Rfam family "Bacterial small subunit ribosomal RNA", at positions 358 to 795 of the family's 1533-position model. The record is from RNAcentral.
GGAAUUUUCCGCAAUGGGCGAAAGCCUGACGGAGCAAUACCGCGUGAGGGAUGACGGCCUGUGGGUUGUAAACCUCUUUUCUCAAGGAAGAAGUUCUGACGGUACUUGAGGAAUAAGCAUCGGCUAACUCUGUGCCAGCAGCCGCGGUAAUACAGAGGAUGCAAGCGUUAUCCGGAAUCACUGGGCAUAAAGCGUCUGUAGGUGGUUUGGUAAGUCUGCUGUUAAAGACUGGGGCUCAACCCCAGAAAAGCAGUGGAAACUGCCAGACUUGAGUAUGGUAGAGGUAGAGGGAAUUCCUAGUGUAGCGGUGAAAUGCGUAGAUAUUAGGAAGAACACCAAUGGCGAAGGCACUCUACUGGGCCAUAACUGACACUCAGAGACGACAGCUAGGGGAGCAAAUGGGAUUAGAUACCCCAGUAGUC